Molecule: small nuclear RNA, 19 nt
Filed under: Arabidopsis thaliana (thale cress)
Lineage: Eukaryota; Viridiplantae; Streptophyta; Magnoliopsida; Brassicales; Brassicaceae
Description: snRNA_09482
Source: RNAcentral
GCCCAGCUUGAAAAUCGGA